Molecule: long non-coding RNA, 392 nt
Filed under: Capsicum annuum
Lineage: Eukaryota; Viridiplantae; Streptophyta; Magnoliopsida; Solanales; Solanaceae
Description: long non-coding RNA (CANN_LNC010715)
Source: RNAcentral
AGAUGCUUAUAUAAAGAAUUUAUAGGUUACCGCUACAACAGAUUAAAACACACUUAUUGUAAACAAAAAAAUUAAGUUGUCAACGUAUAUAAGUUAAAUCUCCAUAAAAAUAAAUGCUUGGCUGAGAAUAGAGGGACUCACGUGAGCUUAUUAUACAGAGUGUGUAAAUUGUAAGUUGUCUCAUCAUUCUUUGAGGAGGAGUUGUUUAUAUAGCAAAAGAACACAAAAAUAAAAGGAAGAAAAAUAUUUGAUAAUUCAAUCAAGGAGAUUAUUCAAUGAGGUAAAUCACUUAACUCCACCAAUCAUGCUAUGGUUGCCACAAAUAAACAAAUAAGAAUCUAUCUAAAUCUUAAUAUUGAAAUCUUCCAUAAACGAAAUAAGGAAAAAAAAUU